Molecule: transfer RNA, 56 nt
Filed under: Rhigonema thysanophora
Lineage: Eukaryota; Metazoa; Nematoda; Chromadorea; Rhabditida; Rhigonematidae
Description: tRNA-Asp
Source: RNAcentral
AAAACUGUAGUAUAAUUUAGAUACGCUCCAUUGUCGGUGGAGAGGCCGGAGUUUUA